CCUACGGGUGGCAGCAGUGGGGGAUAUUGCACAAUGGGGGGAACCCUGAUGCAGCGACGCCGCGUGAGUGAAGAAGCGUUUCGGUGUGUAAAGCUCUGUCAGCAGGGAAGAAAAUGACGGUACCUGAUGAAGAAGCCCCGGCUAACUACGUGCCAGCAGCCGCGGUAAUACGUAGGGGGCAAGCGUUAUCCGGAUUUACUGGGUGUAAAGGGGGCGCAGACGGCGCUGCAAGCCUGGAGUGAAAGGCCGGGGCUGAACCCCGGGACUGCUUUUGGAACUGUGUGGCUGGAGUGCAGGAGGGGCAGGCGGAAUUCCUGGUGUAGCGGUGAAAUGCGUAGAUAUUAGGAGGAACACCAGUGGCGAAGGCGGCCUGCUGGACUGCAACUGACGUUGAGGCGCGAAAGCGUGGGGAGCAAACAGGAUUAGAUACCCUAGUAGUC
Molecule: ribosomal RNA, 440 nt
Filed under: uncultured bacterium
Lineage: Bacteria
Description: partial 16S ribosomal RNA
Rfam family: Bacterial small subunit ribosomal RNA
Source: RNAcentral